ACUCCUACGGGAGGCAGCAGUGGGGAAUAUUGCACAAUGGGCGCAAGCCUGAUGCAGCAACGCCGUGUGAGUGAAGAAGGUUUUCGGAUCGUAAAACUCUGUCCUAAGGGAAGAAACAAAUGACGGUACCUUAGGAGGAAGCCCCGGCUAACUACGUGCCAGCAGCCGCGGUAAUACGUAGGGGGCAAGCGUUAUCCGGAAUCACUGGGGCGUAAAGGGUGCGUAGGCGGCUUAGCAAGCCAGGGGUGAAAGGCAUUGGCUCAACCAAUGUAAGCCUUUGGAACUGUUAAGCUUGAGUGCAGGAGAGGUAAGUGGAAUUCCUAGUGUAGAGGUGAAAUUCGUAGAUAUUAGGAGGAACACCAGUGGCGAAGGCGACUUACUGGACUGUAACUGACGCUGAUGCACGAAAGCGUGGGUAGCGAACAGGAUUAGACUACCGUGGUA
This 444-nucleotide ribosomal RNA is filed under the name uncultured bacterium. RNAcentral's name for it is "bacterial SSU rRNA". It matches the Rfam family "Bacterial small subunit ribosomal RNA", at positions 335 to 792 of the family's 1533-position model. The record is from RNAcentral.